Molecule: ribosomal RNA, 1761 nt
Filed under: Escherichia coli
Lineage: Bacteria; Pseudomonadati; Pseudomonadota; Gammaproteobacteria; Enterobacterales; Enterobacteriaceae
Also listed under: 1 other name
Description: partial 23S ribosomal RNA
Rfam family: Bacterial large subunit ribosomal RNA
Source: RNAcentral
GACACGUGGUAUCCUGUCUGAAUAUGGGGGGACCAUCCUCCAAGGCUAAAUACUCCUGACUGACCGAUAGUGAACCAGUACCGUGAGGGAAAGGCGAAAAGAACCCCGGCGAGGGGAGUGAAAAAGAACCUGAAACCGUGUACGUACAAGCAGUGGGAGCACGCUUAGGCGUGUGACUGCGUACCUUUUGUAUAAUGGGUCAGCGACUUAUAUUCUGUAGCAAGGUUAACCGAAUAGGGGAGCCGAAGGGAAACCGAGUCUUAACUGGGCGUUAAGUUGCAGGGUAUAGACCCGAAACCCGGUGAUCUAGCCAUGGGCAGGUUGAAGGUUGGGUAACACUAACUGGAGGACCGAACCGACUAAUGUUGAAAAAUUAGCGGAUGACUUGUGGCUGGGGGUGAAAGGCCAAUCAAACCGGGAGAUAGCUGGUUCUCCCCGAAAGCUAUUUAGGUAGCGCCUCGUGAAUUCAUCUCCGGGGGUAGAGCACUGUUUCGGCAAGGGGGUCAUCCCGACUUACCAACCCGAUGCAAACUGCGAAUACCGGAGAAUGUUAUCACGGGAGACACACGGCGGGUGCUAACGUCCGUCGUGAAGAGGGAAACAACCCAGACCGCCAGCUAAGGUCCCAAAGUCAUGGUUAAGUGGGAAACGAUGUGGGAAGGCCCAGACAGCCAGGAUGUUGGCUUAGAAGCAGCCAUCAUUUAAAGAAAGCGUAAUAGCUCACUGGUCGAGUCGGCCUGCGCGGAAGAUGUAACGGGGCUAAACCAUGCACCGAAGCUGCGGCAGCGACGCUGAUGCGUUGUUGGGUAGGGGAGCGUUCUGUAAGCCUGUGAAGGUGUGCUGUGAGGCAUGCUGGAGGUAUCAGAAGUGCGAAUGCUGACAUAAGUAACGAUAAAGCGGGUGAAAAGCCCGCUCGCCGGAAGACCAAGGGUUCCUGUCCAACGUUAAUCGGGGCAGGGUGAGUCGACCCCUAAGGCGAGGCCGAAAGGCGUAGUCGAUGGGAAACAGGUUAAUAUUCCUGUACUUGGUGUUACUGCGAAGGGGGGACGGAGAAGGCUAUGUUGGCCGGGCGACGGUUGUCCCGGUUUAAGCGUGUAGGCUGGUUUUCCAGGCAAAUCCGGAAAAUCAAGGCUGAGGCGUGAUGACGAGGCACUACGGUGCUGAAGCAACAAAUGCCCUGCUUCCAGGAAAAGCCUCUAAGCAUCAGGUAACAUCAAAUCGUACCCCAAACCGACACAGGUGGUCAGGUAGAGAAUACCAAGGCGCUUGAGAGAACUCGGGUGAAGGAACUAGGCAAAAUGGUGCCGUAACUUCGGGAGAAGGCACGCUGAUAUGUAGGUGAAGCGACUUGCUCGUGGAGCUGAAAUCAGUCGAAGAUACCAGCUGGCUGCAACUGUUUAUUAAAAACACAGCACUGUGCAAACACGAAAGUGGACGUAUACGGUGUGACGCCUGCCCGGUGCCGGAAGGUUAAUUGAUGGGGUCAGCGCAAGCGAAGCUCUUGAUCGAAGCCCCGGUAAACGGCGGCCGUAACUAUAACGGUCCUAAGGUAGCGAAAUUCCUUGUCGGGUAAGUUCCGACCUGCACGAAUGGCGUAAUGAUGGCCAGGCUGUCUCCACCCGAGACUCAGUGAAAUUGAACUCGCUGUGAAGAUGCAGUGUACCCGCGGCAAGACGGAAAGACCCCGUGAACCUUUACUAUAGCUUGACACUGAACAUUGAGCCUUGAUGUGUAGGAUAGGUGGGAGGCUUUGAAGUGUGG